AGAAUCCUCCAUAAGGAUGCAAGCAGUUAAUGAGCAGUCACAGUUUCUUGUGCCAUUCCUUCUGAACACCAGUACAGAAUCUUUUUCUGUAUGGAAUCAGUUAAAAAAAAACUUUGAAGUACAGAAGUGAAGCAGAAGGACUGGAAAUUUUCUGGUCAUUUUUCUAUAGCUAUUUCUCUGCAGUAUGAAACAACAUCAAUCACAUAAUGACCAAAAACUGCCUAGAGCCUAUCUGGUAGGCAGUAUAGGUAGUACAGAAUCCAAGGAGUUAGUAUUCUGAGGGAGAAUUUGAUGCAAAAUGGGAAGGUAUUGCAUGAAUUCUUAAAAUCAUACUUUUCUCUUGUUUUCUAUAGGUAGGCUGGGGUUAUUUUUAAAAUCCUCCCACCAGCCUGCCAAAUCACAGGAUGGAGUUACUCAGUGUCUCCUUUCCAUUGAAUGUUUUGCUACAUGCAAACUUUCAUCUUCUGUCUCUGUACUUCUGUCUUCUGCUAGGCUUACUUUCAAAGGUUAAAAGACUGGAGUGUACUAGAGUCAAGAAAGCUCAGUGUUGGUUGGAGGUGAAGUCACCAGCAUUACAGUUCUCCACCAGUCACAACUGAUAAGUUCAGAACCACAUCAGGUGAGGUUAUUGUACUCUUGACUUGAAAUGUGAAAGUCAAUGCAUGUGCAAUCACAUAUCCCUGUUAAACCUCUUCCUUGUCAAAUCACAUAUCACUAAUGAGUUUUUAACUGUGAGUUUGGCUGUUUAAAUUGUUAAAUUUCUUCUGCAUUUGUAUGAUACAAAUGGGUAGGUAAAAAAUACCAAUGUUAUGGUAACUUCUGCAUUUUAGGUUAAAAAAAUGCAUAUAAUGUUCCUUUUUACUCAAAAAGAAUUGCUAGCAAAUCAAAAUAGAAAACACAAGCAAACAGAAGAGGGAAUAUUUGAACAAGUACAUGCAAAAUAAUUAUUCAGCACUGCAGACUAGUCUUUUGCAAAGCUUUAAAUAAUAUAUGUACAGAGAUUAGAAAUCCCUGCAAGGAAGUUUUUAAUUUUUUCCUCUAUGAUUCUCUCCAAUAUUUUCUUUGAAGCUCACAUGGCAUAUCUUUUAGCCUAAUUCAAAAUGAUGUUUUUACAUCAAAAAAUGCAGCCAAGCCAAUACUUUUCCUUCAACUGGUUGUUCAAAGAGGGAAAAAUUGUUAAAAUUUGUUGUUUAAAAACAGUCUGCUUUGUGUUAGUCAAUGUGUGAUACAACUUCUCUCUUUGUGUCUCUUCUUUACUCCCUUUCUUUUCUCCCUUUCUCCUUUUCUUUUCUCCUUUUCUNCUUUUCUUUUCUCCUUUUCUUUUCUCCUUUUCUUUUCUCCUUUUCUUUUCUCCUUUUCUUUUCUCCUUUUCUUUUCUCCUUUUCUUUUCUCCUUUAGUCUGUCUUUUCUGUCUUGUUGUGGAAAUAAACAUCUGUCCAUACAAUAGAUUAUUUUAAAA
Molecule: long non-coding RNA, 1459 nt
Filed under: Lonchura striata (white-rumped munia)
Lineage: Eukaryota; Metazoa; Chordata; Aves; Passeriformes; Estrildidae
Description: domestica (Bengalese finch) lncRNA (ENSLSDG00000002486.1)
Source: RNAcentral